This 243-nucleotide long non-coding RNA is filed under the name Setaria italica (foxtail millet). RNAcentral's name for it is "long non-coding RNA (SITA_LNC002861)". Lineage: Eukaryota; Viridiplantae; Streptophyta; Magnoliopsida; Poales; Poaceae. The record is from RNAcentral.
GGACGGCAAAGCGAGCUACUAGCCAGUUGUUCAGGUCAAUGGUACUGGAGUCCGGAAUUUGGUCUCGUAACCGAUUAUAAUCCAGACCAGAUGUGAGCUCAUCUCUAAAUUUGAUUCGGCCAGCAAAAUAUACUUGAAUCGGCAGCUGACCCAUGCCGAAUUGACGUGCUGCAACGGAAGGAUUGUAGAACUCGUACGUAGGGGCGUCCUUCCCCGAGAAAAAGUUGGCUGGCAGGAGUCCUG